Cylas formicarius (sweet potato weevil) is the source of this 2710-nucleotide long non-coding RNA. RefSeq lists it as uncharacterized. The record is from RefSeq and is a predicted model, not a curated record. The transcript has 3 exons. Lineage: Eukaryota; Metazoa; Arthropoda; Insecta; Coleoptera; Brentidae.
UCCCCGGAAUCGAUUAAAUAAAUUCCUUGAUUUUGGUAGCCCGUUACUGGGAUGUGAUAAAUAUUAUUUAAAAAUAUCAAUAUAAUUUGAUAUCACUGAGCUCUAAAAUUCCUCACUAGCUUUGAUACCUCCCCCAGUUACUUUUGUAGGUCUUUUUGAGCCUUACGACUCAUAUAAUGUGCAGACUUCCAAGGCAUUGUUAGCUGUUGAUUCCGAGGAGUUAUUAAAAAACGUCAAAAGGCGUAAUUUUAGAAGCUUGAGAUGAAAAACCCGACUUGAAGUAAAUUUUUCAAUAUUUGAAUUGGUCCUAAACAGAUUCAGGAGUUUCUUGGACGCUCCGGUAUGGGUAAAAAAAAUUGAGUAAAUGUUCGGUGAAAGAUUUCAUAUGAGCUUCAACAAGUUUCAUUGGAAGAUCUCGAUUUAUGUCAUCAGGUUCUUAGAGUGCAAAGAGUCGACGUAAAACAUGAAGGGCUCAAAAGGAUGAAUACAAAGAGAAUGUGCAACAGGAUUCGACAGUUUGAAAUGUUUCCCAUUCCCAAUAUAAUUUCAAAGUUUUGUGAGGCAAAACACUCAAGACGUUUUCGACGGCCUAUCCAGGACGCUCCUUUGUUGAGAACCAACGACACAGACUGAAUCACCCAGAUCCUUUCUUUAAAAGAAAUGUUUUGUAGUCUAUACAUCUGUCCAUCAGUUGGCAAAUUUCUCUCAGUAACACAUAAACGUUAAAUGAAGCUAUUGCGAGACUGUCGCCUCUCAUUAGAUUGGAGCUCUCUGCCUUUGGCGUACCGUUUUCAGUUUUGUUAGGUCAAUAAAACUGCCAAAAUUGGCCUAAAGCCGGGUAGUAAUUCCUAAACUCGAUAAAAAGAGUUUUACAGGGAAAUCUUGGCUCCCCUCUUAACACUAACUGUCAAAAGUUCUAAGUCCUAUUUGCCUGUUUGUUUUAUGAAAAAAUAUUUUUUGAUUUAUUAUACAGGGUGUUUUCUAAUUGCAUGUCAAUAAUUAUGGAGGCGGUUCGUAUGAACAUCUCAACUUUUGUUUUCAAAAAUAUGUUUUUUAAAUAACUGUAAUACCACUUUAGAUAUUUUAAUAAAAUCUGGCAUAGAUGUACUAUGUGGCGACCGUACGAAAUUUCAUGUAGCUAUUUUGGCAGACAUUGAUGGUACGUCACUGAUUUCUCCUGUCAAUCGUAUGUAGGGUUUUCACUUAAAAAAAAAAUAAAAUCUUCUCUUCUCUUCUCUGUAUGUGAUUCAAAUAUUCUCUUACUGCAACACUAAAGUGAGCAGAGCUGCCAUCAUGCAUGAACUACAUUCUGUUCCUAAUUAAAUAUGGUACUUCUAGCAUUAUUGGCAAUUCCCCUUCUAACCUUUUUUGCAGGAAAACGGGAUAAUGCAGAAUUGUGUCCAAAAACUAUUAACAAUUAUUAACAUUGGAAAGUAACGAUUGGAGUCGUUGAAUAUGAUAUGGGUACCAUAGAAAAUUCUUUUAACUUAUUAUUUGUAUUAUUGAGGUAAGGCAGAUCUCCAGAUAGUUACCAAAAGAAAUUGCAUCAGGCUCAAGCUCCAGUGGGCGCGAUCUGUGGCCGCGAACGUGCGUUGACGUAAUCCGAGGAUAGUGAGUAGGAAGCCCCAGGAGUGAAGUGGUUAAAACAAUCCUUGAUGUGAUCCAAUGAGCAGUGCAAAUAGUAUAUGGGAAGUCAAAUUAAAAAGGAAAAAAAAGAAGGCCGUCGAUGUGAGGUGGCCUUAUAGGUUGAGCGUUAUCCUUAAAAACCUCUCUCCGCUAAAUCCGACCAAGUCGGGGGUACAAACGAUCACGUCUGUUUACCCACUUAUUCCGGAGAUCAGGGUUAUCAGUACCCCUCUAAAUCCGCAAUAUGCGUGAGCUUUAAGCGACUCCUUACAAAAACAGUCUGGACAAGGGAAAACUUACAGGAAGUACGCUGCUUACCGGCGGGAAAAAGAACACCAAAACCGCCAAAGAAAAGAAAAGGGACCAGAGAAUGAUCGCAGGUCUGUGACCACCACCCGUUCCGCGCAUAGGGUACGCAGUACUAUGCAUCAGCUGUUUUCGUUUACUUCAAAACAAAUAAUAAAUUUCCAAACAAGCACCGAAACGAAGGAAAUGCGGCUUUUAAACGGAGUUUUGGAAACCGGGAGAGUUUACAACCCUCGGCGCGCCCACCGUCCGUUACUAGUUGGUCGUAAUUCGAGCCAUUUCAGGUAUUAGCAGCGCUACAAAAAUUAUUUAUGCUACACACAUACAAGGCAAGAUAUCAUAUACUAUAUUUUAACAAACCAAGCAGCCUUCAGAUACCACGAUAAAAAUUGUUAUUAUCUGCUCAAGGCUUGUAGCAUUUAAAGAUUCAUUUUAGAUUGGGCCGGAACCUAUCAAAAUGAUGCACUUUAUAACAUGGAAUUUGACUGAGCAUAGCGGUUGUCACAGUUUAAUAAGCCCCAUCGAUCUAUAACCUACCUCCCCCAAGGGUCAAAAUGAAAAGAGAAAUGGCAUAGGUACAAAAGCAAAAAGAAAAUCGUAACAUAAUAAAAAAGAAUUAUGUAAGUUAAAGUUUUAAAAAGUUGCCCCUUGUACCGUUUCACUAUUAACUAAUUUAAAAUUCUCGCAUAUAAAAUUGUGGCGCAUUCGCUAAGAAUGCAAAAAAACAAAUAUCGCCCUUCCACCAUCGCACCAUAAUAAUGAAAAAGAAAGCAAUUUU